Molecule: ribosomal RNA, 474 nt
Filed under: Otocinclus flexilis
Lineage: Eukaryota; Metazoa; Chordata; Actinopteri; Siluriformes; Loricariidae
Description: partial large subunit ribosomal RNA
Rfam family: Bacterial large subunit ribosomal RNA
Source: RNAcentral
GUUAAACGGCCGCGGUAUUUUGACCGUGCAAAGGUAGCGCAAUCACUUGUCUUUUAAAUGAAGACCUGUAUGAAUGGUGGAACGAGGGCUUAACUGUCUCCCUCAUCUAGUCAAUGAAAUUGAUCUACCCGUGCAGAAGCGGGUAUAAGCAUACAAGACGAGAAGACCCUUUGGAGCUUAAGACAAAAGACCAACUAUGUCAAAAGUCCUAAACGGAACUAAACCAAAUAACCCUGGUCUCAAUCUUCGGUUGGGGUGACCACGGGAGAAAACACAGCUCCCAUGCGGACAGGGGAGACCCCCUAAAACUAAGAGAGACAUCUCUAAGGCACAGAACAUCUGACCACAAAGAUCCGGCGAUUCGCCGACCAACGGACCAAGUUACCCUAGGGAUAACAGCGCAAUCCCCUUCCAGAGUCCAUAUCGACAAGGGGGUUUACGACCUCGAUGUGGGAUCAGGACAUCCUAAUGGUG